This is a small nuclear RNA of Pseudoliparis swirei, 115 nucleotides long. RefSeq annotates it as U5 spliceosomal RNA. The record is from RefSeq and is a predicted model, not a curated record. Lineage: Eukaryota; Metazoa; Chordata; Actinopteri; Perciformes; Liparidae. The transcript has a single exon.
UCACUCUUGGUUAUCUUCAGAGCGCAUGAAUCUUUCGCCUUUUACUAAAGAUUUCCGUGGAGAGGACCAACAAGAGUCUAACUCAAUUUUUUUGAUGCCCUGCUUACGCUGGGUU